Octodon degus (degu) is the source of this 2075-nucleotide RNA transcript. It is a transcript of the gene named AFG3-like protein 1 pseudogene, with no coding region annotated. The record is from RefSeq and is a predicted model, not a curated record. NCBI's taxonomy places the organism in Eukaryota, Metazoa, Chordata, Mammalia, Rodentia, Octodontidae. The transcript is spliced from 3 exons.
AUGGGAAUGAUGGCAGUAAGAGGGGAGUCCACUUUCAGCAACUGGCUCUACAGGGGGAGACUGACAUCAUUUUCCCAAUGGCUAUGUUCAAAACCACCUAAAGGGUUUGAGAAAUUCUUUGAGAGGAAUGGAAGAAACACAGAAUCAGAAAAACCAGCAGCUCCAAGAGAAGAAACUGGUAAACCAAAGAAUGCUGGGUCUGGAGGAGGUGGCGGCAAGAGAGGAGGAAAAGGGGGUGAUUUUGCCUGGUGGAAACAGAUACAGAAGGGAGAGUUUCCCUGGGACGACAAGGAUUUCCGAAAUCUGGCCAUUUUGGGGCAAGCGUUGCCACGGGAAUUUUCUAGUUCUAUUUUCGAGAUCCUGGUAGAGAUCACCUGGAAGCAUUUUGUGCAGUAUUACCUGGCCAGAGGCCUGGUGGACCGGCUGGAGGUCGUGAACAAACAGUUUGUGCGGGUUAUUCCUGCCCCGGGGACCUCUUCUGAGAAGUUCGUGUGGUUCAACAUCGGCAGUGUCGAUACCUUUGAGCGGAACCUGGAGUCUGCACAGUGGGAGCUGGGCAUUGAGCCAUCCAACCAGGCCACAGUGGUCUACACCACGGAGAGUGAUGGCUCUUUCCUGUGAAGUCUGGUACCCACCCUUCUCCUGGUUGGCAUCCUCUAUGCCGCGAGGAGGGGCCCUAUGGGGGCCGGGCCCAGUGGGUGAGGAGGAGGCCUCUUUAGUGUUGGUGCAGCGACAGCCAAGAUCCUGAAGAGCAACGUCCCCGUGAGGUUGGCAGACGUAGCUGGCUGCAAAGAGGCCAAGCUGGAAAUUAUGGAGUUUGUGAAUUCCGAAGAACCCCAAGCAGUAUCAGGACUCAGGAGCCAAAAUCCCAAAGGGAGCCAUGCUCACUUGUCACCCUGGUACCGGCAAGACGCUUCUCGCCAGAGCCAUGGCUGGGGAGGCCAGCGUGCCCUUCAUUACCGUGAACGGGUCGGAGUUCCUAGAGAGGUUUGUUGGUGUUGGGCCAGCAAGGGUACGUGACACGUUUGUAAUGGCCAGGAAAAAUGCACCUUGUAUCUUAUUCAUUGAUGAGAUUGAUGCCAUUGGCCGGAGCGAGGCCGUGGACACCUUGGGGGGGGGGGGGGGGCAGAGUGAGCAGGAGGACACUCUGAACCAGAACCUCGUGGAGAUGGAUGGAUUCAACGCUACCACCAAUGUGGUGGUGCUGGCCGGCACCAACCGCCCUGACAUUCUCGACCCAGUCCUGAUGCGCCCUGGCCGCUUUGACCGCCAGAUUUCUAUUGCUCCCCCUGACAUCAGAGGCAGAUCAUCUAUCUUCAAGGUCCACCUGCGCCCACUCAAGCUGUCUGAAAACCUCAGUAAGGACGCCCUGGCACGGAAGCUGGCAGCCCUCACUCCAGGCUUCACUGGUGCUGACAUUUCCAACGUGUGCAAUGAAGCCACUCUGAUCACAGCCCGCCACCUGAGGCCUUCUGUUCAGGAGAAGCACUUCGAGCAAGCCAUCGAGAGGGUCACCAGAGGCCUUGAGAAGAAGACCCAGGUCUUGCAGCCCAGUGAAAAGCCGACUGUGGCCUACCAUGAAGCUGGACAUGCGGUGGUGGGCUGGUUCCUGGAGCACGCAGACCUCCUGCUGAAGGUGUCCAUCAUCCCCCGGGGCAAGGGCCUCGGCUAUGCGCAGUACCUGCCCCGGGAACAGUACCCAUACACGAGGGAGCAGCUCUUUGACCGCAUGUGCAUGAUGCUGGGCGGCAGGUGGCUGAGCAGCUGUUCUUCGGGCGGAUCACCACGGGGACGCAGGACCACCUAAGGAGAGUCACACAGAGCGCCUGUGCACAGAUCGUGCAGUUUGGAAUGAGUGAGAGGCUGGGCCAGGUGUCCUUUGACCUCCCACAGCGAGGCGAGGCCCUGGUGGAGAAGCCCUACCGUGAGGCCGCGGCCCAGCUCACUGAUGAGGAGGUUCGGAGCCUCAUCAGCUCUGCCUGCGAUCGCACUCUCGAACUGCUGACUCAUGCCGGGAGCAGGUAGAAAAGGUGGGCCAGCGGCUUCUCAAGAAGGAGGUACUUGUUUGUAAGUAG